CAGUAUUAUGAGUAAUGAGGAUAAACACUGGUACGUGAUAUAUUUUAUACACUACAUUUUAGCUAUAUUUCAUGUGUGUCAACAGCGGCUGAGGUCCACAUCCUUAGCCUGCUGGAGACCAUUAAACAACAACAAGACCAGCUUGUGGCAAAGGUGAACUACCUCAGCAGCAGGCUGAACAGCAACCCCGGGGCCAAAUAUCCAGUUUCCCCUGGAACAAUUGGAGGCAGUGGAGGCAUUUGAAAUGUUUUUAAAGGAAAUGUCAAAUUGCCCAGCUCGACAGAGCGUGAUUUCUUCUUUGGCCACCAUUGGUGGUCAGGAUGUGAAGAGAGUGACCUGGAACAUCCUGGCCAGGCUCUUCACAGAUGAGGUGCUGUGAGGAAAAACACAGUGACACGGUCAGCCACGGACUCAGAGGUCACCAAGCACGCAAUCAGGUGGUUCAACCUGGCAGCGUAUCGGGCAAUGAGGAGACGUGUCCUGCCUCAAGCCACACAAACGGAGUAAUAGGAGAAAUAAGCAAGAAACAAUAUUUUUUUGAACUUCUUGUCGUUCUCCAGUUAUUAAUUUUCUGAUAUUUUAGCUGUGCAUUUCAUUGAAGUUUUAGCCUAAUGGAUAAAAUUUUUAUGUCUGCACCGACCUAGGCCUAUAAAGCACUAAAUUAGGUUUUGACCACAAAAUGAAUGUAAAGUAGCUUAGCCAACGUAGG
Esox lucius (northern pike) is the source of this 709-nucleotide long non-coding RNA. The record is from Ensembl. Lineage: Eukaryota; Metazoa; Chordata; Actinopteri; Esociformes; Esocidae.